GAAUUUUGGACAAUGGGCGAAAGCCUGAUCCAGCAAUGCCGCGUGCAGGAUGAAGGCCUUCGGGUUGUAAACUCCUUUCGACAGGGACGAAGCGUUAUCGUGACGGUACCUGUAGAAGAAGCACCGGCUAACUACGUGCCAGCAGCCGCGGUAAUACGUAGGGUGCAAGCGUUAAUCGGAAUUACUGGGCGUAAAGCGUGCGCAGGCGGUUUUGUAAGACAGAGGUGAAAUCCCCGGGCUCAACCUGGGAACUGCCUUUGUGACUGCAAGGCUAGAGUACGGCAGAGGGGGGUGGAAUUCCGCGUGUAGCAGUGAAAUGCGUAGAUAUGCGGAGGAACACCGAUGGCGAAGGCAACCCCCUGGGCCUGUACUGACGCUCAUGCACGAAAGCAUGGGUAGCGAAC
This 404-nucleotide ribosomal RNA is filed under the name uncultured bacterium. RNAcentral describes it as "bacterial SSU rRNA". It matches the Rfam family "Bacterial small subunit ribosomal RNA", at positions 359 to 773 of the family's 1533-position model. The record is from RNAcentral.